GAUGAACGCUGGCGGCGUGCCUAAUACAUGCAAGUCGAGCGAACAGACGAGGAGCUUGCUCCUCUGACGUUAGCGGCGGACGGGUGAGUAACACGUGGAUAACCUACCUAUAAGACUGGGAUAACUUCGGGAAACCGGAGCUAAUACCGGAUAAUAUAUUGAACCGCAUGGUUCAAUAGUGAAAGACGGUUUUGCUGUCACUUAUAGAUGGAUCCGCGCCGCAUUAGCUAGUUGGUAAGGUAACGGCUUACCAAGGCAACGAUGCGUAGCCGACCUGAGAGGGUGGUCGGCCACACUGGAACUGAGACACGGUCCAGACUCCUACGGGAGGCACCCGUAGGGAAUCUUCCGCAAUGGGCGAAAGCUUGACGGAGCAACGCCGCGUGAGUGAUGAAGGUCUUCGGAUCGUAAAACUCUGUUAUUAGGGAAGAACAAAUGUGUAAGUAACUAUGCACGUCUUGACGGUACCUAAUCAGAAAGCCACGGCUAACUACGUG
This 497-nucleotide ribosomal RNA is filed under the name uncultured bacterium. Its description in RNAcentral is "partial 16S ribosomal RNA". It matches the Rfam family "Bacterial small subunit ribosomal RNA", at positions 28 to 507 of the family's 1533-position model. The record is from RNAcentral.